AGCAGCAAAGGCGGCUCCUCGCGCGGACUAGUUGCUUGUGGAGACUCCAGCUGGCGCCGCCGCCGCCACAGCCAGCAUCGGGGCGGACCAUGUUCCGAGGAAGCUGGGGACAGCCAAGCAGCCGCGUGGGCUCCGCCACCCCAGGGAGCUGGAACUGGUAACGCGCCCCAAGCUGCUGCUGGGGGAGGCCCCUCCCCAGCCCCCCAGAGACGAAGCCACGCCGGGGGGCAGCAGCAACCUCAGCACCAGCUUCACCGCCAGCUCGGCGAGGAGCACCAACAACAACAGCGCCAGCAGCAGCAGCAGCAGCACCUCGGGGUCCAGCAGCACCAUGGAUCUCUCCUUUAUGGCCGCGCAGGUAAAUGGCGAGAGGCAGCCUCCAGACCCCACCCCGUCGAGGGUCCGCUGAGCCUUCGAACCGCCCCUCUCCGCGCCCCCGAAUAUUGGGAGGGGGUGGUUUGCAACAGAUGCGUGGGUCAUCCAUCUCUGACAUCCGUAGCCGUCGUGAUGAAUGAAAGGGGAUUUUGCGUAAAGCGCUUAGGAUUCCAGCGGAACCGCUUUGAGGUUCUGGGCGACUAAGCGGGAUACAAGUCCCGUCGAAUGAAUACAGUGAAAUGAAUGGAGGAGGCUUUGGAUAGAGGGGCGACCUCGAAGCCGCCCCUCACUAGGAAAGGGUGUCGCGGUUGCACAGGUUUCUGGGUGGAUGCUUUGAGAUGCACUGACCCCCCCCUUCCUUUUCUAUUUUUAGGCGAGGAACAGGAGGAGGGGAGUGGGGAAGCCUCUCUCUCUCCCUCUCCCUCUCGCCCUUGUUACUUUCCAAUAACAAGAGGUUUUAGGGCUUAGUGACAUAACCCCGAGAAGAACUUGGGGAUGGAGGGAUAAAGAGGUUUGUGCAAGAUUUUUGUUUUCCCCUUUAUUUUGAAUGCAACAAGCCGAUUUCCCCCUGAAGGAGAUGAAGGGCUGCGUCUGCCUUGCAGCAGCAAAUAAUAGAAUUCUCCAACUGCACUGAUUUCUUUCAUUUGCUUAAGACGUUUCUGUCCCACUUAAUAAUUUGCAUUUCUAAUAAUAAUAAUGUAUUACCCGUCCGUCACCCUAAGGUCCCAGGGUGUAUGCAAAAUUCAGUAUGCUUGGAAACCUGUUCUGUGGGAUAAUUAGAUUUGGUGGUGUGUAGCAUGAGGAAGUACACUUCCCUGUGGGGAUAGAGCAGAUGGGUAGGAAUAAUUUUCAACCCCCCCCCAAUACUUCCAUGUAUAUAGAAUGUAACAGCACUAUCCUCUAUGUUUACUCAGAGUAAGCCCCUCUAAGUUCAAUGGGAUUUACUCCCCAUUAUAUACAUAUAAGACUGGAGCUUUACCUGUGCUUGUCUACUGAGAAAUAAGCCCCACUGUGCUGCUCUGUUCCUGAUCCAUCCAUCUUUCCAUCCUCUGUGUCUUGACCUACCCAUCCAGCACAGCCAUGCUGACUAUGGCUGAUGGGAUUUGUAGUCCAAAACAUCUGGGAAGUAUCAGGUUAGCAAAGUUCGAUCUACUGUUAGAUUUCUGGCUUGCAGUAGAUAACCAAGGAUUUCCAACACAUGGUUGUUUAACAAUAGCAGCAGCAGCAGCAACAAAAAAAAACAACAACAAUCACACACACACACACGAGUUAGCUGCUGAUAUGAGUGGGGGACAAGGACUUAAGGGGAAAUGACGAGUGCAGUUUUAUAUGCGAAUACUGAGAACUGAGUUCCUAGACAUGCAUACCACAGGUGCUCUGUUCCUUAAUUCUAAGGGUGUAUCCACCCCUUUCCUAAACCACUAUUUUCACAGAAUCAUAGAUAUGUAUUCUGGACUGGACUGGACUAGGCUCCAGCUGGCAGACUUCAGUAUUCUAGGGUAAAAAAACAGUCGAUUCUUCAAGCUUGAUGUCUGCCCACCCCUGCCUUAUGGCAAAAGGUUUAGUAGAGCCUCAAUGAAGGAUUAAAGUUUAAUUUCCUAUAUGGAAGAGUUGAAAGGAGGAAGCUCCUGCUGAUUCGUAUCUCCCCAGCUGGUUUCUUGACUGACCUCAUAUAGUGUCAGUGAAGUCGGUCAUAGGAUAAUCAGUGUUAGGAACUGAGAUAUAAAAGCUAGGAGCUAAAUGGCACCUUAAACCUAGGUUAUGGGCACAACAACGGAAUGUCUCGGCACACUUUUUUAAUAACAAGAAUACAAAGCUGAAAAUGAAUGAAAUGCAGCUAAAAUAUUAUGUUCAUUUUUCACAUGGUUUAGUCCUUCCCCUGCCCACCCCACUAAUAUUCUUAAGAGGGUCUCUUCUCCAGUCUUCAGAGAGUAGCUGGACGUGGGGAGGCAGAAAAAGGUCCUCUUUUCCUUCCACUCUGCAGUUUUAAAUCUGAAAUCUUAGGCACAGAGCUCAGAAACCGCUCGCGCUAAUGAAAUUCCUUGUCGCAAAAUGCUCCCAGAACACUGAGGACAAUAGAUCUGGUGUAAUUCUACUGUUCUCUUGUAAAAAAAGAAAGAAAGAAGAAAAGCAAUCUUUGGGCAUGGCCAACCAAGAAAUCCUCCUGCACAGUCCUAGUGAAAUGAACAAGAGGUGCAUGAGAACAUGGGUGCCUUUUUGCGUGGUUCCCAUAAAUUGAAAUGGACUGUGUGUAGGUGUAUAUAUUAGACUGCUCAUUCUUUGGAAAGGUGGGUUGUGGUGGUGGAACCCCACUCACCAAAGUAGAUUUAAUCAAAUUUCCCACCUCCUGGAUAAGUAGGUACCCAGAGUAUGUUUUGAAAAGUUUUCUGUCUCUGCCAUAAGGGCAGCUGAAGUUAGAAAUCUCAGUAAUAAACAGCACCUCCAGUUGUUACUGGCACACUUUCUCUCCCUUUUUCUCAAACAUGGCAUCUUAACAGUAGCUUUAGGAGCACAGCCAAUAUAUUCUUGCCUGCUGGUUACUAUCUAGCUGUCUGGCCCAUUCAUACUUACUGCAAAGCUUUGAGCUUAUGUCAGGUGAUUUCACGUUAAAUUGAAUUAGGCUGCAUUAAGGAGAGAUGAAAUAUUUGUCUGCUGGUAAUUCUGACAGGCUUCCCCGCCCCCGACAUAAAUGCCUGCCUCUUCUCUUAGGAAGGGAUGAAGACCAGUUGCGAAAUGGCUCUCCAGUUACUCAGUUACAUUUUGCAUGAUGUAUUUUGGUUUUAGGGAGAGCCAAAAGAAUGUGGUUGUUUUACACCAUAGCUCAGUAGCUUUGCAUUCAGAAGGUCCCAAGUUCUGCCCUUGGCAUUUGUAGGUAGGGCUGAGAGAGAACCUUGCCUAAAACCUGACUUAGUAAAGUGGUACCUCGGGUUACAGACACUUCAGGUUACAGACGCUUCAGGUUACAGACUCUGCUAACCCAGAAAUAGUACCUCGGGUUAAGAACUUUGCUUCAGGAUGAGAACAGAAAUUGUGCGGUGGCAGCAGCAGGAGGCCCCAUUAGGUAAAGUGGUACCUCAGGUUAAGAACAGUUUCAGGUUAAGAACGGACCUCCAGAACGAAUUAAGUUCUUAACCUGAGGUACCACUGUAUAUAAGACAUCUUAGAAUCGCAGAAUUGUAGAGUUGGAAGGGACCACGAAGAUCAUCUAAUCCAACCUCCUACAGUGCAAGAAUAAUAAUUUUAUUAUUUUUAUACUGCCCAUCUGACUGGUUUUGCCCCAGCCACUCUGGGUGGCUACCAACAAAAGCAUAAUAAAACAUCAACUAUUAAAAACUUCCCUAUACAGGGCUGCCUUCAGAUGUCUUCUAAAAGUCAGAUAGUUGUUUAUUUCCUUGACAUCUGAUGGAAGGGCAUUCCACAGCGUGGGCGCCACUGCCAAGAAGGCCCGCUGCCUGGUUUCCUGGAACCUCACUUCUCACAUUGAGGAAACCAGUUUCUAUGUAUCUUACAUUGUAUUUAGUUUAUGUAUUGGAUUGCAUGUUUAUCAUACCCUCUCUUUGUUCUUCAUGUGCACUGCUCUGAUACAAACAUGAAAUGGUUUCCUACUAUAAGAACUGCUUGCAAUAUUUAUGAAAAUGUGUGGAAUUUUUGCCCGACAGGUGGCCUAUAUUUAUGAUUUUAAAAAAUCGGUUUAAAAAAAAUCUAUAGAGGGAAGGAUGCAAACUGCAACGUUUGGGGGCAAGAAUGAACUUCCCUCAGUCCUGAGUUGCUUGCAUUUUGCAGAGCAAGAUUCAAACCUUGCUUCCCAUUCACAAUUCACAAGCCUACUGAAUUGAUGUAACUGAAGCAGAGGUCAAUAUAGCUUGCUCUCAUAAGGUCUACCAUCUCCUUGAAUUGCUUUUGCAGGAACACAGGUGGGACCUGCAACAAAAGGUUGCAGCGUGAAGUGUUCCUCCUAUAGAUUUCUCAAUUCCAUUACAACCCCUGUCCUGGUAUACACAUAACACUAAGCCAUAGUUUGGUUAACAAACUUUGAGUUAACCAUGAAUUUCCCCACAGUUGAUCAAACAAACCAUGGCAUGCUUCUCUAAAGUUUAGUUUGUUUCCCAGCUAUUCUUGUCUUGUGCCUUUGUUGCUUGGUGAGAGAAUGGGAAGGGGAGCCACUGGAAUAAUUUCCUAUUUCCAGGGAGCUGUUUUGCUUCCAUAAUCAUAGAACCAUAGAGUUGUAGUGUUGGAAGUGUGGGAAUGUGGAGGAAGGUAGGAGAGGAUAUAUUGAUUAAAUAUUAUCCUUCCUCACUCGCGCUAGUGAGCAAGCAGCAGAGAACAUUCCCUUGCAGAUUGCUGGAAGCAAUUUGAUGGAUUCAUUACAAUCAUUUAAAUUAAGCAAUCCAGUCUGGAUUGUUCCUGGUAAGUUUCCCCUUUAUUUCCCUCUUAAAAUGAUAAUAACACGACAGUCUUCUUUAAAAGUAAGAGUAAAGUUUACUUACCUUCAGUUCACAGCAGUAAUUUGAAGUCAGGCUUUAUCUUGUGGUUACUGUUACAUUGUAGAGAAAAGAAGUCUGAGCUAGGCCUUAUGGCUUCCAUCCUCUGUAAGGAUGAGCCAUGUGCUGGCUAAGAACCAGGAAAGGAGUCCGAAAGGAGAAAAUGGAAGAAUGGAAGAUGGCUGCAUGGCUUGUCCUUUUACAGGGUCUGCUAGGGUCACGCCCAUCUACCUGGUCACACACAGAGGGAGGAGGCUCCAGAACAGGUAUGUUAGGAAGUCCUCCCUGUCUGGAACUACAUUCCCCUGUGUGUCCACUCCAGGCAACAGGAAAAUGUUGUCUUUGACUGCUUCAGUGAAGAUACAUCCCACAGGAAGAGACCACAAGGGUCAUCUAGUCCAAGUCCCUACAAUGCAGGAAUCUUUUUGCCCAGCGUGGGGCUCAAACACAAGAUCCUGAGAUUAGGAGUCUCAUGCUCUGCUGACUGAGCUAUCCCUUCAGCAUUCCCUUACUCUAGGCCAAGAGUUUUCCCACUUCAUGCCUUUGAGUGUCUCUUUCUACAGGAACUUGUGUGUUGCAGAGAGCCAGGGUGGUAUAGUGGUUAGAGUGUCAGACUAGGAUCUGGGAGACCAGGGUUCCAAUCCCCACUCGGCCGUGAAGCUCACUGGGUGACCUUGGGCCAGUGACUCUUGCUUUGCCUAGCCUACUUCACAGGAUUGUUGUGAGGAUAAAAAUGGAAGGGGGAAGAAAUAUGGACACCACCUGGAGUUCUUUCGAGAAAAGGUGGGAUAUAAAUGUAAUGGUAAAUUUAAAAAAAAGAAAAGAACACAUUUUCAGUAGGCAUGGAAUGGUGGCUAGGUGUAUUGAGCCUUAUUGUUGACUCUCGGGAGCUAGGAACGAUCAUUUCUGAACGAGCUUUGCAAGGGAAAGUUGGUAGCUGGAGGCAAUUUAAGCUCUCUAUCUUUCUCUGUCUUUUUCUGAGGCACAGCAUCUGAAGAUCUGUGCUCUUCAAAUGUUACUGAAGGGGGAACAAGGCAGAAUUACUGAGCUCCUGUUAGUGGAGCUCAUGCUGAUUGCAUGGUCCUUUUGUGUUUCUGGAUCUUAGAAACAGAGGAGGAGCAAACAAUGAAUCCCGUCUGUUAUCUGCUUGCACAUGUAGGCCUUCCAGGUUUUGCUCGUGGCCUGUGUAUAAGUAUCCAUGACAGUAAUGAAUGUACCAUUCCCGUUUGGCAAUGUAUUCUUUUCUGGAACAAAUCCAAGGAAACGAGCUUUAAAAAGAGAAAGAGGUUAUAUUUUUUCCAGGGGUUGGAGGAAAGAGAACCUGGUGGAGACGCCACAUGUUAAAAAUGCAUGAAUACCUGCCUAGAUGUGGCACACAGGCAUCGACUGCUCAGAGAUGAAAAACACACAGCUUCUUUGAUGCUUGGCAACAAACCUUCAUAGUGUGAGUAUUUGGGUUUCUCUCAUGGGAAGCUGUUGACCUGGUUCCUAAGAUAAGUUAAGGAGGUUCAUGGAAGGUACCUUAAGAUGUAGAUUUGAAUUUGUGUAAUGCAGGUUAUGUCAGUACAGUGGUACCUCAGGUGAAGUACUUAAUUUGUUCCGGAGGUCCGUUAUUAACCUGAAACUGUUCUUAACCUGAAGCACGAUUUUAGCUAAUGGGGCCUCCCGCUGCCGCUGCACCGCCGGAGCACGAUUUCUGUUCUCAUCCUGAAGCAAAGUUCUUAACCCAAGGUACUAUUUCUGGGUUAGCGGAGUCUGUAACCUGAAGCGUCUGUAACCUGAAGCGUAUGUAAGCCAAGGUACCACUGUAUAUGGCUAACAGGAAACAGUAAGUAAUUGGUCCCGUCGCUUGUCUCUGGGGUGCCAUUUUGCACCGGUUUCACCUGCCUCCCAAAGCCCCAAUUUUGCACUUGGUUUCAUUUGGGGGACCUCAGGCUUCCGAUGGGUAGGGUGGAAGCAAAAUCAAUUCAGCAAACCUGAUUUGUCAGUGCCAUUCCAAUGGGCUUCGCCAGAUGCCUAUCCACAUAGCUUGCUCUGUGUUAGAAACGAUGGUCUUUGGAACAUACUGCAUGACUAUGUUGUUGUUUCGUGCAAGAGAUGACCGGACAGUCACCCCCACUAAAUUGUUUUGGUUCUUUAAUUCUUAACAGGAAUGUGUCUGUGGCUUUCAGUUGCAUUAAUUCUCUCCUAUAUGUACCGUAUUUUCCCAUGUAUAAGACUAUAUUUUUUCCUAAAUUUUUAAAGUUUAAAAUAAGGGGUCGUUUUAUAAAUGGAUAGUGCAUGGUGCGUUUUCUUAAUUUUGGGUUAAAAAAAUAGGGGUCGUCUUAUACAUGGGGGUGUCUUAUACACAGAAAAAUACAGUAGCCUGGUGGGGAGGGGAGAGGGGUGCAGCUACAGUCAUGCAUGCUGGCCCCUUGGAAGGUGGGGUGGAAUCUAGAAAUAACUGUAGUGCAAUGUCUUCUAUUAGGACCAACUAAAUAUCACAAGGCAGUGAGAAAUCGUUUGCCACCUGCUGCAUAUGCCUACCUGAACCUCAAGGCUUGGGGCUGCAAGAAGAACUGAAAAUAUGAUUCUUCUUAGAAUCCAAGCUGUGAUCAAGGCUGCAUGGCUCGGGGUAGCUGGUAGGGGUGGCAGAUCUGGCCUUUGUGGAGCACAGCCAGUGGGCAGAUGUGGGUAGAUGUGGGCACAAAGCAGAGGAGGAGGCAAUAAACAUCCACAUCCCCUUGAGAAAACACCCUGGGAGAUUUUCUGGGAAUGUUUUUCCCACAUUGGUGGUGACAGACGAGUAGUUUGAUCCAAAUUGCAUUAAAUGGUGAACCUACGUAAUUCGCUCUUUCCGAAACAAUGCACAAACCGAAACAGUCCUCCUUUGAAAUUUGCACUUCUCUGAAUUUUGCCACACAUUUCUCCAGCCAAGUAAUGUGCACAAAAAUGCAGAUACUAGGGUAAAGUGUGGGUGAAGGUGUAUAUAUUAGUGAAAAUAACAUGCAGAAAUGCAGGAUAUUAAGGGAAAGCGUAUUGCAAAAAGAAAAAGUGCAUGUUAGGCAAAAUUGCAUGUGUAUAUCAGGAGAAAAUUGCACUAAAAUGCUGAUGAAUUCUCAUUAAAACUCUCAUUAAAACUUUUUUAAAAAAAUGCAAAGUGAGGUGGAGAUGUGGAGAACUGGAUUUAAAAAUUGACAGAUUUGCCAAUCCUUGGUCCAGAAUCUAUAAAACUACCUAAUUGCACCACUGUUGGACAGCACAGAUUUCUAUAACAUAGCAGAAGACUCCAUUCUGGCUGUCAUACAGACAUUUUGAGGUGGGAAGCCUCUGCAUAGCCCUAACUUCCCCAGUGGGGCUUUAGAAUGCUUUGGCUGAAUCAUGCCUGUAGGGGCUCCCAUAAGACCAUUGUGUCCAGUAUCUAAAAUUGCCUAAUUGCUCCAUUGGACAUUGGCCUGCUUGCUUAAACAUCAUUAUCUAUGGCAGUGCAAGCAGGCAGUGUUAUGUCUUCUUAAUGGACCCCUGCCCUGUCCACCCUGGAUAGUGCUGUAUUAACUCUUUGGCAGGGAAGUCUGUGCCAUUUUGCAGUCUGCCAAAUUGAAAAAGCAUGCACACAUCAUUCACAUCCCCUGAUGUAACUGAAGGGGUGACCAUCAUUUUGUAGUCUCGACCCCAUUGCAAAGAGCUAAACUUUCUAAACAAGCAUGCCUACUGUGGCAUGCUAAGGUUUCUUUUCUCUAUAUCCAGCAGGGUUCAGUUCUUGACAAUUGAUUAGUUUCAACGAUUGGGUUAAAGGGGGGGGGGGGAAUCUCAUCCCAAUCAUAAUUUUGCAAGCCAAGCAUUUGGUCUAAAGUGGGAAUAUUAUUCUACCUGGCUCUUGUUAGGAUGUCAUGUGUAACGGUCUCAUUUGACAACCCCCAUUUAGAUCCUUGAAGUGAAAUGCGGCGAUGUGGAAAAUUAGAACAAUGUCACCAGGAAGUUCAGCAGUGACCAAAUGUGUUAGCGCAGGCAGCGCUUCCACGUGAAAUGCUUCGUGGCACGAAAUCCCUUCAAGGAGUAUGGAAUGUUAAUCCUUUGACACUCGGUUGAUCCAUCAAAACCUCCAGCUGUCAAAUCUGCUAGGUCCUCGGUGAAUGUGAUGCACCGUAGCACAAAAGUGGGGCAUCGCUGGUGGCAAAGCACUAACCAACCUGUGCUUUGGAGACAAGAUUAGGAUUGUCCAAGGUGGAAGUAUCCUUUUAGGUAAUUCACUGUCCAGCCAGAAGGCCUUGGAUAAAUAGCAUCAGUUGUGUCUUCUCCUACAUACGCUCAAAACAAAAAUGUGGUUGCUUUGGCAGUAACUUUAAUUGUAUCAUCAUAAUGUAGUGAUGCAGAAUGGGAAAGGGCCAUAGCCUGGUGGUAGAUCACAUGUUCAGUCCCUGGCAUCUCCAGAUAGGGCUGGGGAAGACUCUUGCCUCAAACCCUGGAAAGCCAUUCAUCACAAGGAAGCUUCCUGUGUCCAAGAUAUAUGGAGUAGUGGUCGGUGUGUUGGUCACUCAGAUUCCUACUCAGUUGUGAAGCUCACUGGGUGUCCUUGGGCCAGUCACUUUCUCUUAGCCUAACGCUCUUCAUAGGAUUGUUUAGAGGAGAAAAUGGGGAGGAGAACACUGAAUGCCACCUUGAACUUCCUGGAGGAAAGGUGGGAUAUAAAUGAAAAAAUAAAAUAAAUAUAAAUCUAUCUUAAAUGAGAUUGGUAGGAUCAGCAGUAGUGUUUGUUUUUGGGGUUUUGGUAAAUAAAUUUAUAUUAGUUUUUCACAGUUACAUUUUCACAAAUAAAAACAAAUACCUUUUCACAAACCUUCUCUGAGAUUCUUUAAAUCUCUGGACUUCCCUCGUUACCCUCUUCUGGUUACUUAUAUUAACCAAUUUCUUCUGCAUAUCCAUUCUUAAACCUUUUCCAUUAUUAUUUCCCUUAAUUUUAUCUAAUUUUCUACUAGUUGCAAGCAUUUACUUAAAAUCCUGCCAAUGUUUCAGCUUGUUUACAGUAUUUUUGCACAUAAACAACAAACAAUUCCCACUCUUUGUUAAAUUUCACGUUAUCAUAGUCUCUGAGCUUUGCCGUUAAUUUUGCCCUUUCGACGUAGCCCAUUAGCUUGAUCUGCCAUUCUUCUUUCGUCGGUGUCUUCCCUCCAUCUUUGGGCUAACAGUAUUCAGGCAACUAUUGUAGCAUACAUAAAUAUUUUCUUCUGUUCUUUAGGUAGUUCCGUUCCUAUCCUAAUAAGAAAGCUUCUGGUUUUUUUAACAAAAGUCAUUAUAGAUAAUUUCCCAGAAGCUUUUAAUAACCUUACAUUCCCAUCACAUAUGAUAGAACGUACCCUCCUUUUCUCUACAUUUCCAACACUUAUUAGAAGUAAUUUUUAAGUUUCUCCUGGAUAUUUCUCCCUCUCUCUCUCUCUCUCUCUCUCUCUCUCUCUCUCUCUCGUGUGUGUUCACUUGCUAUUCACAACGCAUUUCUGAGAAGAGUAAUACACAUAGGGUUGCAGUUGGCUUUUUAGCAAAAAAGGUUAAUCUGUUUCUCAAAUCCCGAUUAACCCCUAUUUGUAGGUUUAAACAGAUUUUGCAUGUCUUCAAAGUACAAGUGAAUUUUUCAGAAGUGGAUAGUGUGCAUAGGUUUAUAUGAAUGAACACACAUGUAUACCUGCUUCAAUUGUUCAGCUUUCGAUAGCUGUGUUUUGUUUGUGGUGAUAAUGUUCCCUUUCUGCUGAUAGCCCAAUUACCACUCAUUCCCAUUUGAGAGCAAAUUUUGUACUCACAAGCCCUAAAGGUUCCAGUAGUCAGUGAGUUGGAAAAAUACUUUAAAAAUUCUGUUCACAUCCCUUAUUGGCUACAAGCGUGUUUGAAAUCAUAAGUUGAUAAGAAAGGCUGUCCUGGCUGCAAGAGGCCAAAUCCCUUGUGGUGUCUGAAAAUUCAGCGCUGUACAUUUUUAGUCAUAACUGGAAUUUCUCUUUCUGAGUUUCCUAAUGCCCAGCAGGCUCUGAAUCUAGAAAAUGAAGAAUACAUUACAGCUGAAUUGCCUGACCUGCUUGCAAAAUUAUGCAAGGUGCCACCCGAAAUACUGAUACAAGCCUUCUGCAGCCUACAUUUCAGAUAUCUUGGACCAUUAUCUGUGCUGGCUGAGGCUGAUGCGAGUUUCAGUCCACAACAUUGGACUGGGGGAGGUUGGGCAGUGUCAUUGUCUGGGGUCCAAGUUUGAUUUGCAACCACAAAGCAAUGAGUGCCAAAGCAAAUGAAUACAGUGCAGUCUAAUGAGCUUACGGAGCAAUCCGAUACAUGGCUACUGAGAAGUAAGCCCCACUGAAUUUAAUAGGGCUUAUUCCCAAGUAUAAGGUUGCAGCCAUACUUGAACUGACAUUAAAAUAAAUGAGUUAAUGUCCCAGUAAGGCUGUUGGGGUUGACAAUGUCCGUUGCACAGAUCAGGAAACACUCCAGCACCCCAAAAAGCAGGUACGAUUCCUAGAUUUUCUAAGCUUUGGUUUCUGCUUGCACAGGGAGCUCCUCUUUAGGAAUUUGCCAGGGUGAUGGAGACUGGAGAAAAAGAAUACCCCACACUAGGUGUGACACAACCUAGCUUGUUUGUUGGGGUCAUAACCAACCAAUCAGGAAGUGGCAUGGGGAAACAGGGCCGGGUGUGACCUGAGUGGAGGAACUCCUUUCCUCUGUUCUGCUCCCUUGGGACUUAAAAGCUAGACUUCCUCAAACCUAGUUAUAACAUUUCCAAAACGUACAAAGCAUUUUGCCCUGGGUAAUAGAAUGGAAAGCAUUGUUGUUGUUGUUGUUGUUGUUGUUGUUGUUGUUGUCAUGCCAAUCUGGCUGGGCUGAGCUGCCCCAGCCACUCUGGGUGACUUCCAACACACAUAAUAAUAAUAAUAAUAAUAAUAAUGGACACCCAACAUUAAUAACAACCAGAUCCUAUAUAAAAGGUCACAAUAACUUUAAAAUAAACAACUUAUAUCAAAUAAAGCAACAUUCAAUAAUCCAUUAGAAUCCAAUAGUAAACAGUAAAAUUAAACAUCAGCAAAUUAUAAUUAAACAGUUAACACUUAUCAGUUGCUUACUUUCUCUCCCUCGAUGCUUAAAAAAGGGGUGACACAGCAAAUUUAAAUUCCUAACAUUUCUAAGCUGUCCUCUCUUAGGAAACAAAUUGCAAUCGCAUAAAUUGUUUUUCUUGGGAUGUUGGUGUAAUAGACUUGCCUCUUGAAUAAUCACAGGGGUAGAGAGCUCAUCUGUGUAAUGCCAAACUAUAGUUUGUUGUUACGUCUGAACUGAGUGACAAAGAAGUGCUCAGCUGCCUGAACAAGUCCAUUCUUUCUCAUUGAGUUUGUUGAUUCAGUCUUCCACAACCUGGUGCCCUCUGGAGAUGAUUGGGCUUCAGCUCUUAUCAUCCCAGGUCAUAGGUCAUGCUGGCUGGGGCUGAUGGGAAAUUGGGAGUCACACAACCUCUGGAAAGCACCAGGUAGGCAAAGGCUGAUUUAGUUUUUAGACCUACUUAAUAUGUCUCUGCACAUGGUUUUGGGCACACUUCAAUCAUGACAACACAAGAGUUGUGAUGCCAUGAUUCACCCACAUGGCUCAGCACGCAGAGCUGUUCCAUGUAACACGGUUCUACUUUGCGUUUAGUUUGUGCAGUCUUCUACCCCAUCGCUUUUAGUUAGCCCUCCUCUCCCGGUUUAAAUCCCAGUUCACUAUAAUGGUAAGACGCAAUGAAAGGGCAUGUGAGGACGCAACUGAAACAGAUGUCUUAGGCAUUGCUAGCACCUGUGAAAUGACCUAUUAGUGGAAUAGCCUUUGCCAAAACAACGAGGUGGGGGGGGGAAGCUGCCAUUUUUGCAACUCUUAAAUUUCACACUGCUAGCUUGAACAUACCAUGGAAAUGACAGAUGGCUAGGAGACUGAAAUCAGACAUUUUAAUGACAGAUUUCGUGCUGAAGGUGAGGCAGAUGGCAUGCUUUCCUGGCAAGUGUGCUCAGAGAUGGAAAAAACAGGAAUCGGCCAAUAGAAACUUUUGCUGCGAAACACCUUGCCUUCCUCUGUAGAUCAUCAGCCUUGCACACAGAAUGCCCUGUGUGCAGCAAAGUGUGUGUGUGUGUGUGUGUGUGUGUGCAUGCACACACUUUCUUGGAAGUCUCCACACAAUACUGAGGCACCCUUGAAUAUUUUUACAGAGAGGCUCAGGAUAGAAUUCAUAACGAAUUGGAAAUACUUGCAACAAAUAUUUGCAAACUUUCUAAUGGAAGGGCAGCCUGCCGUAUGGUUUAAGACGUUUGCUCUUAAAAACAGAUUUAAGAGAUGUUUCACAGGCCCAUGGCACAAAUUUGCAUAGAUUUGUAUAGAGUGCCUCUGGGCAAAUUAAGGUGGCAGGUGGAUGGGUGCUCUGUCGCAGUGGCCCAUCGAUAUAUUGAAUUUUAAGUGCAGGACUAAGGGGCAUGAGGUCUGAUCCUAACGUAGAAGUUCUGGUGCUCAGACCCUCUGGGAAAACCCAUUAACAAUGUCCUCUGUCCAGCAAUAUCAGCAGAACAUAGAAAAAUGUCAUAAACUUGAUGAUUGGUCUAUCUAGCUCAGUAUUAUCUGUACUGGCUAGACCCCGCUCUCCAGGGUUUCAGGCGAUGGAUUGAAUGUGAGACUUUUUCAUGCAGACGAAUUUUCAUGCUUUAUUACUGAGCCAAGGGCCUGCUAGGCUCUCAGUGUGAUGGCUCUGUAUCAAGUGUGGGGGACAUUUGGCCUUCUAGAAGUUGCUGAACCAAAGCUCCACGCAGCCCCGGAAAGCAUGGCCAAUGGCCAGGGGUUUGUUGGGGGGUUGCCAUUGUUGUUGGCAUCAUGGAGUGCACCUCCAGGAGUGAAGUUGAACCACUGCAUUAGCAGCACCAAAGUGGUGUAGUGGUUAAGAGCGGUAGACUCAUAAUCUGGUGAAUCGGGUUUGCGUCUCUGCUCCUCCACAUGCAGCUGCUGGGUGACCUAGGGCUAGUCACACUUCUUGAAGUCUCUCAGCUCCACUCACCUCACAGAGUGUUUGUUGUGGGGGAGGAAGGGAAAGGAGAAUGUUAGCCGCUUUAAGACUCUUUCGGGUAGUGAUAAAGUGGGAUAUCAAAUCCAGACUCUUCUUCUUCUUCUUCCUCCUCCUCCUCUCCAGAUUUGUGUGGGGUUUACUGCUUAGCCUUUUCUUCUCUCAAAGAUAUCCUGCAAGGCAGUAGAGGUUUAGGAUCAGAGUUUUCCUUCUCCUAGAUGGGCUACUUUCCCAUGUUGACAAGCCCCAUCUGCCCCUCACUACAGCAUGUGCAAAAACUGCCUUCUUGACUGUAAUAGUAAUAGUUGCUGAACCAACUAUAUAGUGCCACUGUAUUCUGCUCUGGUCAGACCUCACCUGGAGUACUGUGUCCAGUUCUGGGCACCACAGUACAAGAAGGACACUGACAAACUGGAACGUGUCCAGAGGAGGGCAACCAAAAUGGUCAAAGGCCUGGAAACGAUGCCUUAUGAGGAACGGCUAAGAGAGCUGGGCAUGUUUAGCCUGGAGAAGAGGAGGUUAAGGGGUGAUAUGAUAGCCAUGUUCAAAUAUAUAAAAGGAUGUCACAUAGAGGAGGGAGAAAGGUUGUUUUCUGCUGCUCCAGAGAAGCGGACACGGAGCAAUGGAUCCAAACUACAAGAAAGAAGAUUCCACCUAAACAUUAGGAAGAACUUCCUGACAGUAAGAGCUGUUCGACCGUGGAAUUUGCUGCCAAGGAGUGUGGUGGAGUCUCCUUCUUUGGAGGUCUUUAAGCAGAGGCUUGACAACCAUAUGUCAGGAGUGCUCUGAUGGUGUUUCCUGCUUGGCAGGGGGUUGGACUCGAUGGCCCUUGUGGUCUCUUCCAACUCUAUGAUUCUAUGAUUCUAUGAUUCUAUGACUGUUUGGUCUUGUCCGCUUAAUCUGCCGGAGCCCAUCUUCGCAUGCAGGUUUCGUCUAGGCCAGCGUUAUCCAUACAGGCUGGCAGCUUUGCAAUGGUAAUGUUGUGUGCUUUAGAGUCUCAUAAGUCACUUUGUGAAAGCAGGGCACCCUGAAAAUAAAAACAAACAAACUUCCAUUGCAUCUCUGUUAAUUUUUGCUUGGUGUGAUCUCUGUACAGGUGGUUGGCUGAUGGGGAGUGAGAGAUACCUGGCAUGUGUGAGCUCCUUCCUUGGAGACAUUGGACUGGGGAGAAACUUGAGAGUCAGAGUUUUCCUUCUGUUCCUCACUUCCCUCUACAGCACGUGCAGAAGCCGCCUUCUUGACUGUUGGACCCACUAUUGGUCUCAUCCGCUCAAUCUGCCAGGGCCUGUCUUAUACCCACUAUUUUAAAAGUUCUUAAAAGUGGGGUAACAAUGCCUCUUGACAGGAAACGCUGAGAAUUGUAGCUCUGUGAGAGAAACAACAACUCGCAGCACCAUUAGCAAACUACAGCUCCCAUAAUUUUUGGGAGAGGAAACCGUGACUGUUAAAAGUGGUAUUUAAAUGUACAGCAAAUGUGGCCUACCUCUCCGGUGAAUGGAAGCUGAUGUAGGAGGCAAACACAACCCAUUCAUAACGAUAAAGAUUUCUGUAAUGCUUGUCUCAAAGGUUGCUAUUUGAAUUCUACAGACUAAUAUUUUUACCACUUCAGAUCAUUCACUCCGUUGUAUCUGUGCUGUGUUGGUGUUUGCUGACUGCGUCUUAAUUGGAGGACGCAACUUGGGACGUGAGCCAAGUUCUUGUGUUAAAAUAGCAUAUGUGGUGGCCGCUUGGAAAUAGAACCGACAGGGCCUUGCUUUUGUGUGGGAAGCAGCUACCCAACUGGCAGUCGCUGUGUUAGCUAUGGAUCACAGCAGCCACUCCUUCAGAUGAAAAGCUUUGUAGCGUGGAAUGGAGCAAAAGCAGAUGUACUGGCAAUAGCAGCUUGGAGAAAAACCAAUCAGGUCACAUAGAUGCAUCUUAGAGUUCUAAGCAGGUACAUUUUUGUGUAAGGCAACAAGUUUUGUUUCCUUGCUGAAAGCUAUACAUUGGUAUAUUUAUCCAUACUUUUCAUUAGUGGGAAAGGCCAUUGUAUGAACAAGUAAAGAAGAAGAUUUUUUUUAGCUUAUAAAUAUGGGAGCAUCGCUCUUUGUUUUUCUUUCAUCUGAUUCUUUCAUCUGCCACCAUCUCUUCCUUGCUUUCGAGCCAUUCUAUUUACUCUUAAAUGAUCUCAUUCUUUCAUCCAUAACAGCACAGUAGUGCUUUAAGAGAAAUAAUGAUAGCACCAUCAAUAGCUUGUUGGACUGGGUAACUCUUUUGAUAAGUGUCCGGGAACUGCCAUUGGCUCAGGGGCGAGAGAGGGAAAGGCGGAUGGAUUACAGAGAGCCCCCAAAAAUUGUGGGAAGCAGCACUUCCUCAGUGGAGGAAGGAAGCCACGCCUCUAGUGGGGAGGAGAUGCAGGGCUCGGAGGAUGCAAGGCGGUGUCAGGACACCUUGCCUGAGCAAAGCGGGGAGGAGGGAGGUCCCCCUUUACCCAAGCCUUCCUUGCGCAGUAGGCUUUUGCGCAGAGAGGGGAGGCGUCGGCUGGGGGUCAAGAAACUACUCUGCUGGCGAAGAUUCAAGGACCACCCACUCUCAGAUUCUGCUAGUGAAUGAGCAAGACAUGGAAUAGAGGCGCUCUGCAUUGUAAAGGUUUUUAGCACCAAUAAUAAAGCUUUAGAACAGGCCAGUGAGGCAUCUUGCCUGAUUGCUCUCGAGCAACCACCCGAUAGCCUUAACAAUAAGCUUCUUAAUCUGAGCAUUUUUCCUUUUCAUUCGAGUACAUCAGUAGCUUCUCCUGAGCAUGCUAAGGCUUUGUUCAGAGAGCAGUGAGAUCUUAGCAGUUUUGCACACGUCACUUAAACUGUGCACUGGGAGCCAAAUGGAUGUUUUCCCAAGAUCAACAACUGAUCUCUUCACUUACCUUUUUCAAUAAAAGCUAAAUGCAGCUGGGUUUUUGGGGGGGAGGGGUGUGUGCUUCUAAUUGUGAUUGGUGACAGAGUGAGCAAAAAGGUGCAAGACUGCAGUCCAAGACAGUUCUUCAAGUUGCAGCUGUAGAAAUUAGAAUCAUAGAAUAGUGGAGUUGAGGGACUCCAAGGGUCCUCUAGUCCAACCUCCCUGCAAUGCAGGAAUCUCAGCUAAAGCAUCCAUGACAGAUGGCCAUCUAACCUCUGCUUAAGAACCUUCAAACCAGGAGAGUCCACAACCUCCUGAGGGAGAGACCAUUCCUAUUAACUCUUCAACCAUAGUUUAGAGGUCCUGGGUCCUAAGGAAGUCAGACUGUCCUCCACCAGGGCCAGGGCCUUUUCAGUGAUGGCUCCAACCUGGUGUAAUGCUCUGUCUGGAUGAGACGUAGAUAUAACUGGUGGCUGAAGACUUGCUUUCCUUGUCUCUUCUCCUGCCCCCCUCAGCAGUAUACCACAGCUUCUAUAGCCUACAUAUAGUAGGGAUAUUGAAACGAGAGUCGUCAUAGCGUCCUCUUUUUUGCUCUUCAAAAUAUGGCAAUCCUACAAUAGUGUCUCUAAGUAGUCGUCCAUAGCCCAAUAGUCACACAGCACAUAAUUAAUCUAUGAAUUUGCUCCCAGUAGAGGUCGUGAUGGCCACCAAGUUGGAUGGCUUCAAGAGGAUUAUACCAGUUCAUGGAGACUAACACUAUCAGUGGCUACUUCUUCUGUCUUUACUGGUGGCCAGCAUUCUAGGUUACCGCAAUUGAAUCUCUUUAUGUUCUUCCUUAAAUUAUUCUAUCAUGAAUUGGUGUUUUUAUCUCAAUGGAAAUACUGUACCCAAAAACCUAUCGUUUAUGCUCAUUAGGGUACUGGGUUUCGAGUACACUUUCCCCACCCCUUUUCAUUAUACACUGCAAACAUUUUCCUGCUAGGAAGGUAAACCCCAUAACCCUCUGAAAUCAGUGACCUAAUUAUGUAUGACAGUCAUUAGCCCAGUGGAACAGCAGCCUGCCUGAGAGCAUCUGUUUGAGAAAGCCCUGUGUUGCCGUUUUACUCUGAUGCAUUUGAAAUGCAAAUCGCAGCGCUAAUUAGACAGCCUUUCUGCAUCGAACCACAUAGCUCUUUUCUCUUGAAGCUUGUAUGCAACUGUCAGGCAGGCUUCAGAAGAGUUGGGGGGGUUUCGCCUGUCGCUGUCCACAGCAUUCUCAUUUUCCCAAAUGUGCAAGAGCGUUUCUUAUGAGGGAAGUGAUCUGAGGAUGCAUCUCCGUAACCUUGCAUGCUCAGAGAGCCACUCCCAUUUCUUGGGGCCCUAAUCUCCAAAUCCUUCCAUGCAGCUGUGGGGUGUGGCUCUCCAUGAAGCCACAGUCAACUGAGCCUGUGUGCAUAAAUAUUGUUAAAAUAGCCGCUCUCUUAGAACAGCCUCCUGGCUACAGUAGUCACCAUACGCCUCCAUGAAUAAAAGACAUCUUUCAUUCCCUGUAGGGAAAGUGCUCUCUCUGCUGGGCUUCAGGGGACAUCUGUCAACAAUGGAGGUAGAGGAUCUCUUCAAGUAAAGACUCCUAAACCAACCUAGUUGCAUCAUUUAAGCUCUACCGAAUGUUUGGGGAAGGGGUCAGCAAUUUCAGCUGGGGGCCAGUCCACUGUCCCUCAGACCUUGUGGGGGGUCGGGCUAUGUUUUUUUUUUGGGGGGGGGAGAACGAAUUCCUAUGCCCCACAAAUAACCCAGAGAUGCAUUUUAAAUAAAAGCACACAUUCUGCUCAUAUAAAAACACCAGGCAGGCCCCACAAAUAACCCAGAGAUGCAUUUAAAAUAAAAGGACACAUUCUACUCAUGUAAAAAACACGCUGAUUCCCAGACCGUCCAUGGGCUGGAUUUAGAAGGUGAUUGGGCUGCAUCUGGCCCCCAGGCCUUAGUUUGCGUACCCAUGGUUUGGGAGAACGGGAGCUCUGAGGCAAGGGGGCAGCCUUGUGGGGAGGAGAACUUAUCAAUGGCUCACAUAAGGGCAGUCUUUUAUGUAUUGGCAAAAUGAACUACAUCAGCAAAAAGAGGUCAAAAGAGGUUACAGAUUCAGUAUGGUGGUGAGAGUGUUGAACUAGGACUUGGGAGACUAGAGUUCAAAUUCCAACUCAGACAUGAUACUCUCACUGGCUGAUCUUGGUCCAGUCACUGCCUCUCAGCCUAACUUACUUACAGGGUUGUUGUGGGGAACAAAUGAGGGAGAGAACCACCUUGAGCUCAAUGAAUAAAAAAGUGGAAUGUACCGUAUUUUUCGCUCUAUAAGACACACUUUUCCCCUCCUAAAAAAUAAGGGGAAAUGUGUGUGCGUCUUAUAGAGCAAAUGCAGGCGGGAGGCUCUGCUCAGCGCUCCCUUUAAAGAGCCAUACACACACUCCACGCACUCUUUAAAGGGAGUGCGGCUCUUGGGGGAGCCUUAGCCGUGCACAGCCUCUCCUGGGCAGGGGAUGAAGGCUCCCCUUGCCCAGGAGAGGCUGACGCAGCUAUCCCAUAAGCCAGGACAGCCAGCGGGAUCACUGCGCAGCAAUCCCGCUAGCUGUCCUGGCUUCUGGGAUUCAGAAUAUAUUUUUUCUUGUUUUCCUCUUCCAAAAACUAGGUGCGUCUUAUGGUCUGGUGCAUCUUAUAGAGCGAAAAAUAUGGUAAAUGCAAUACAUAAGUAAUAAAUAAUCUUGUGUAUCAGUCAAAAAUUUAUUUUUGCCUGUACUCAAACAAUUGAUAUAUCCCAUCCAAUCAGGCUAUCAGAGCUGCUUGUUUGUCUGUUUUAAGCAUUUUAUUUUACAUGUACUCAUCCAUCAAUAAGGCUCUCGGAGAAGCUUGCAUAAGAUCAAUAAAAACCAGACAGCCUUUGCCCACUGGCUUGCACCAUAAAAGACACCAUACAAAGGGGAAAAUGGAGAGGGAAGGUAAACAAGGAAAGUCAGGUACUAGUUCUCAAAAGUCUUACAAUAACCAGCUGGAAUAGAAACAAUUCAAGGAGAAAGGCCUAAUGGAGCUCAUCUCUCAGUAGAAAGUACCGAAAAGUCAAGAUACGGUGCUAAUGUGUGGCCCUGAUCCAAUUCAAAGGUGUUAUUGGCAUCAAGCUUCAACUCAUGAGGUGAGGGGAAGACCCCAUCUGCCGAAUCACCCCGAUUUACCUUGUUAUCCAGUCACCACAAAGAGUCAAUGCAUACCUUGAAUCAAUUACUGCUUCAAGUUAUUUCAAGGAAGAAUGCACAGCAGCCAUUUUGGGAAGCCAUGAGUAGCAUUCAACUAAGUCUUGCUCAGAGAAGGCCCUUUGAAAUUAAUGAACAUGGCUUAAGUUAGGUUUGUUCGUUUCAGCGGGUCUAUUCAAGAGUAAAAGGUACUUGAAUAGCACCUCAUGGAAUCACAUUUUCUCUCUCUCUUAAAACUGAGAUCAUGAAGAAACAUGCAUAUGUUGUGAGGCCCUAGAAUUAUUUGGCUCACCAAUGCACAGCAGCAGUAAUUCGAUUAAUAGCAAAUGCUCUCAGAAAAGAUUACUGAAAGGCACAGAUUGAGUCAUAGGUUGGGCUGGUUAUUUUUCAGGCUGAAUUUUCAGCACUGUGAAUAAAAUAACCAACAAUGUAAACUUAAUGUGCCCCAUGCAUUUUUGUUUUUAAAAAGAAAUAUUUACAUUAACCGCACAAAAUGUUAAUUGCACACGCAUAAACAGUGCAAGGGCGAGUUUACUCAGCCUUCUUUCCAGGCAAAUGUUACAAAACUAAACAGAUCUCUUAUGAUUUUUCUCUGAGGCUCUGGUUGAAGGGGAAAGCUUCCCAUAUGGUUCCUGUAUUACAUCUCAGAGCUGGCUUUUAAUUCUUCUUCUUUACAGCAGAGCUUAACACUUUAUCAGUUUAUUUGCAAAGAUUUCAGGAUGCAGUGUUCGCCAGAGGAGUACUUUGCUUAUGUGUGGUGAUGGUAACAGAACAGAGCUUGGUUUCUUGGUUCCCUGGCUUUUGUUUAACAAAAAAAAAAUCAUGCUUCUGCUUCUGAAGCAGAAGGCAGGGAUUAACACAUGUGACCAGCUUCUGCUUUUGGUCUAAAAUGGAAGGGAUUAAGAACAUCAGGCCAAUGGCCCACCUAGUCCAGCAUCCUGUUCUCACAGUGGCAAAAUGGGCAAGCAGGGUCUGUGUGCAGCAACACUCUUCCCAUUUGUGCUUCCCAGAAAGUGGAAUUCAGAAGCGUUCUGCCUUCCAAAGAAGAGGAAAAACAUGGCAAACAUGGCUAGUAGCCGUUGAUGGCCUAGCUAUGAUGACUUUGUGUCUGAGGCAGUGCCAGUUGCUGGAAAUCACAAGUAGGAAAAGCGCUGUUGCACUGAUGUCCUGAUGCUUGCAGGCCUUCUGUCUCAUAGGCCUCUGCAGGAUGUGAAGAAAUACUAACUUUUGCCUGUCCUGAAUCUUCCAAAAUUCAGCUCCAUUAGAUGACCUCUAGUUCCUAUAAUAUGAGAGAGGGAGGAAAAGACUUUUCCCUUUUCUAAAGUUAACGAUUCAGAACACCAUAGCUUUUCCCUGUCAAGGACAAAAGGAACGUUUGUGAUAUGGAGUGCAUCAAUGCCUGGGAAAGGGAAGGGGAAGGAUAAACAGUCCUUACCUGUCACACAGGUAAGUUCAGAAGUGAUGCUAAAUGUGGGUUGUCAGUUUGGGGGGAAGCAGUUUUAUCUAUUUUAUCUGUAAGCCACCUUGAGUCCCUGUCAGGGGAAAAGGCUGGGUGUAAAUAAAUAAAUAAGAAUAAGAAUAAUUUGGAAUGUAUGUGUAUCAGUUAUAUCUGUUAUAUCUCUAUGCAGCACUGUGGUUCUUGGCUAGUGGGUCUGACAACAGCCUGGAAGGAAUCAACCCCAAAUAGGAAACAGGAUGUUUGACUGAAUGGAUCUUUAAUGUCACCUGUACAUUCAUCUGCUUAUUGUGUUGCGGCAGUGAUAUAAACCUCAUAGUACUGUUAAAUCUCAAAUCACAGUCCAACAUCUAAAACUUGAAUGAACAUCCAGUUAUCUCACAUUAAGGCACUUCACCAAGUUUCACUGCAGAAGGCAUGUUGAUAUUCUUAGGGGGAUAUACAAGCCAUGGGCUGGUUCAUUCUGUCUGGGGCUGCCAUUCUGUAGAGGCACGUUGAGAUGUAUUUACUAAACUGAGUAGAGUCAUUGCUGCAGGUAAUGGCAGAAAAUGCUUCAUUCUCAACACCUGACAGUCAGCCACCUUGGGGAUGCAAUCGUAAAUAUACCUAUUUAGAGACAGGUCACUGCCCACAUCAAACUGUAAGCCCAGUGGCAAUACUAGAAUGUGAAUUGUCCAUGACAGCAGGACUCUCAAAGGAGGUGUGGGUUUUUUUGCUUUCUGUUUAAGAUAAACAAAAUGGAAAAAAAGAAAAUGCCCACCUCCAUUUCAUAGUUUUUAAGGGUUCUCGAAUAUAUAAAGUGAAGAGGGACACAGGAAUAUAUUUACCUUCUGCAAAGUACUUUUAAAUAAUGUGUGUGUUUUUAUUUAGCAUUCUGCUCUCAUCCCGUAUUCAUUUCACAAUGAUAUGGGAGGUAAUUACAAGAGAUAUGUAAGGUAAUUAAUUUUGUAUAUUUCAAAAAUGGAUAUUCCAUUGCUGUUUCCAAGGUCUGCUUUCUGUUAUUUUGAUUUAAUUCGACAAUUAACCAGCAAUGCAAGGUCAUGAAUGGAAGCGUGCAAACUGAGUUUGCCAUCAACCUGUCUGUAUCACUCUUGUUAUGCGUUUGGACUGCUAAAUUAAGAUAGACCAGAAUUGCUCCAGGGAUGAAGCCUUAAGGGUGUCUUGGAAGGGACCAUGUGAAAAUAUCCUUCUGGAGUCCAGAGGCAGGGUGUGGAGAGACGAAACUCUGUUUUGCAGAUGCUCUCCCCCAAUUAGAUAGCUGGGUACUCUUCACCAUUACACAGCAUGUUGUCCAAACAAAUGUUCUGUGUCUAAGUAGAAUCACUGCUGAUUCAUUUGUACAGUAAAUUUAAUUGAUUGACAAGCUGGAACGUGUGCAGAGGAGGACGACCCAAAUGAUUAAGGGUCUGGGGAAUGAUUGAGGGAACAGGGUAUGCUUAGCUUGGAUAAGAGGAGACUGAGAGACGAUAUGAUAGCCAUCUUCAAAUAUCUCAAGGGCUGUCACAUGGAAGAUGGAGCAAGCUUGUUUUCUCCUCUUCUGGAGAUAGGAUAGGCUUCAAGUUACAAGAAAGGAGAUUCCAGCUAAAAACCAGGGAGAACUUCCUGACAGGAAGAGCUGUUUGACAGUGGAACGGACUCCCUUGGGAAGUUGUGGACUCUCCUUCCUUUGAGGUUUUUAAGCCGAGCUUGGCUGGCACUCUGUCCUGGAUGCAACCGCCUCAGGCGGUAGAAUCCACGGGGGCAGCAGGUCCUGAUGUCAAUCUUUCUUCCUCUCUUGCUCCUGAUGUAGAAUUUUCCCCCUCACUCCUUCUUUCCAGGCAGGGAGUGGGGUUCUGCUUUGGGGUCUGCCUCGGGUGCCGAAAUGUCUUGUGUCGGCUCUGCCCCAUACAUUGCGGGAAUCACAGCUGAUCAGGGUAGAUGUGUAAGGGUCUGAUACCAGGGAAUGUGGGCAGUACUGACUUAGAUGGACAAAUCGAACUGAUUUACAGUGGUGCCUCGCAAGACGAAAUUAAUCCGUUCCGCGAGAGUCUUCGUCUAGCGGUUUUUUCGUCUUGCGAAGCAACCCUAUUAGUGGCUUAACGGAUUAGCGCUAUUAGCGGUUUAGCGGCUAUUAAAGGCUUAAAGGCUUAGGGGAUUAGCUGCUAAAAGGCUAUUAAAGGCUAUUAAAGGCUUAGCAGAUUAGAUAAAGGGGGGGGGAGCGAAAAAAAAAUCUCAAGACUCGCAAGACAUUUUCGUCUUGCAAAGCAAGCCCAUAGGGAAAUUCGUCCUGCGAAGCAACUCCAAAACGGAAAACCCUUUCGUCUAGCGGUUUUUCCGUCUUGCGAGGCAUUCGUCUUGCGGGGCACCACUGUAUUGUGAAACAACUUCCUAGGUUCUGAAAGGGUGGCUGGGGCGGGUGGAGGAGGUACAUUUUUUUUAUGUAUGUUGCUGUAGAUUCCCCCUCCCCCUGGUUUUAGGUAUGAUAUUCCAUUAGUUAUGGAACAAGGCUUCUUCUUUAUUGGCCCUGAUGCAGGAAGCCCCUUUAAACACAUGCAAGAGACUGUACGCAAGCAGUGCAGCUUACAACACAUUCAUGAACAGCAGCUCCUUAUAUAGUAGCACAAACUGCCCCCCCCCGCCCCGGAAUAUUAAAAAUAUUUGCACUGCAGCAUGCAGUGAGGGAGGGGGCACUGUUGUCUGAAAAAAAAUAUGUCAUGCAUGCAGCACUGAUUUUUAAUCUGCUAACAGAUUACACCCACAUUUUCUGGAAUUGUCCCUUUUUUUUUAGGAAUUCUGUUUCUGAAAUAAUUUCAGAAAUGUUAGGCUCCAUUUGGACAUGUGUUCCUAAGAUAUUUCUGCUUGGAUACUUAAAAGGUGUUAUCAUAGACAGCGAUCAAGGGGUGGUAAUCAAUUUGAUUACUGCAGCAAAAAUAAUAAUUGCUAAGAAUUCGGGGGGGGGAGCUUUUUUCCUCUCACUACCUUUGAGUGGGUCGAGAAGAUUUGGAAUAUGGCAAAAAUGAAUGAGGGAACUCAUUUUAGGGGAAUACAAGCAGAAUUAACCAAAUAAAUAAAUUUGGGGAGCUCAGGGAGGGCAGAAACUUCCCAUAGAACAGAAGGGCAAAAGCUGCUUGGUAUUGCUUUUCAGUAUAUGGGGAAAUUGUAUUUUUUUGAUAUACUGGAAUAGCAAGUACAAUGAUAAUAUACAGCCUUAUGAUGCUCUCCAUUCAUCAUAAUGUGGGGGUUUUCUAGUUGGAAAUUUUAUUACUGUAUUUUAAACUUUCUGGUUCUGGCUGGGUUUUUUUUGCAAACUAUAACAAUUGCACCACAGCAUUUACAAAUGUAACUAACUUAUUAUUAUUAUUAUUAAUAAGGGACAUAUCCUCCACAACUCUUUCAACAUUUUAUUUUAUUUUUAUUUUAGGUACAAGAUUCCCCCCCCCAAAAAAAAAAUUCCAGCUCCACUAUAUAUGGGAUUAAAAAGCAAAUGAUUUUAUAAGUUGCGUGUCGAGGUCCCCAGGGCCACCCCAAUAACUCACACAUCACACAGAAUUUUUUGUUUAAGAUUUUUGGCAUAAUCUGGGCCACAACUUUAUUAAAAUACAAAUUUGUGAGUGGUUGCUUAGGCAUUGGUUGCGACUAUCUACCCCCACCAUGGGGGACAGACUGACAUUCCGCACGAUGCAAAAGUCAGAAUAGGGGAAUACACUUGGGGGUAACGACGGAGCAGGGAACCUGCCCUCACCCCAAAUGCAACCAGGAGCUCAUUGCUAUGGCCCCUUGACAGAGUGGACAAGCAAUAGUUAGCCCCCAAUUCCUUUAAUGGAAUCCCUUGCAGCAGCAGCAUUAGAGGGGCAGGCACUCAACCUACCAAGGGCAGGCACUCAACCACUGCCCCUCAACCAACCAAACCAUAAACCAAUGCCUAACCGCAACCUUACAAGUUGUGACGAUUUGCUACGCAGUAGGCAAAAACCAAAUGACCCCAGCCAAUCAGCCAGAUGGACAAAAUUCCUACUGGGCCCCUGCCCCAAAGCAGACGACGCCAUGACAGGCAUAGCAAGGUCAAAGCGAACAACCCUAAUUCUAGGGAGGGGGGGACGGGCAAUCCGAUUCACAGUCGAAAAGAGGAAGCUCUACGCCUCGUGCAAGGAGUUUUAGCAUUUCUGGCUGUCAAUCAACAAAUGACAACAUUAACUUCUUCCCAACAACAAGGGAAGCCCAAUCGCAUUCGUGGCCAACGAUCACUUACCCCGCCCCCAACUUUGGAGUGUCCUGGCGGCCCCCACCGCAACACGUGCUCUCCAUGAACACGCUUUAUCAAAACCAACAAAUUUAUGAUUAGUGGCCUAGUUCUUUAACUAAUUUAGCACACAAUUAUAAGCAUUUUAAAGCAUGAAACAUUACACAUCUAUCUGUUUUUUGCAUCCUAUUGUUAUUUAGAACAAAGACUAUGAGCAAAAGGGGAAAUUGCUGCAGAUAAAUAUUUAUUUUAUGAUGAAUUAAAAUUCAAACUUGAACCUACUUAGUGUGUUGGUAGUCUUGUUUGUUUCACUUUAUAUAAUUUCAUUAUUAUAUUUCUCUUUCAGUCUUUUUUCUCUUUCUUAUAUUUUGAAUGGCAAGCUGUAUAAUGUGUGGGGUUGUAUCAGGCUGAAUUUAUUGACAGCAUCCUGCUAUUUAGGGCUCUUAUUUUUAUUUUCACUAAAUAAAACAUUUUUGUACUUGACUUUUAACACUGAUUUUUAUCCAUAGCAAAGAGAUUUCCUUUGUGAGCAAGCUCACUUUCACAUUAGUACUUUAACAUAUACAUUUCAAGGCAUAAAUGUGAAGGUUGCUGAGGCAAAGGGGGCCAGGAGGGGCAAUAUAAAUUUUUUAUCACUUAGCAGAACAUGGAACCAGUGGGAACUGCACACUCAUUCUGAAUCUCGAUUGAGGAAAAUCUACAUUAUUUCAUGUAAGAAUUAUUAGUUACAUAGGUGUCAAAUGUGCUAGCUUUUUUGGGGGGGGGGAUUGCAGCAUACUUUUUUUUCAUUAUUGCAUACCAAUGAUAAGUAUUUAUGAUGUUGGGUCUUUCUCAUUUAAACAAUGGUGUGAAGAGAUGCUGAGCCACAAGGUCGGAAUACAUGGCAUGUGUGCAAUCGUGUGCUUUCUGAAUUCAAUAAUUGCUUCCAUAGCAGUAAGUGCUUCAUUAGAAAGAAUUUAUUCUUUCCUCGAGAAGCCUUCCUUUCCUUAAUAUGAGCAACUGUCAUACCUUAAACCUUCUUUUCCUUUACAUCUCUUCUGCAAAAUAUUGAUGUCUUGCAAGAAAUGCAUCUUCUCCUGGCUCCUAAAACAACAAUCCUUUGCAGGGCCGGCCCUCCCAUUGGGCAGAAUAAAGCGGCUGCCUCAGGCAGCAGUUGCAGGGGGGCAGGGAGUGAUGCAAGGUCUUGGAGGACAGAGAACUGUGUGUCAGGCAACUUGCCCAGUGCCCCCUCAACUGAACUACUGGCCUCCAUUGUGGUAUAGGAAACCACCAGUGUUCAAGUUCGAUUCAGGGAGCAUCAUCUGAGAACCUUUUCCACUUUGAUCCAUGUUUAUUUUGAAUUUCUUAAUUAAAAGAUGUUGGGUGGAGAGACCUGGAACUGACCCCCCCCCCAAAAAAAAGGUCUGGGUUGUUAGCAAUCUGAAUUUUUAGAGUUUCUUCCCUUUUUUAGUCUUUCAUUUUUAUUUCCUGAUAAUAUGUUGCUGAAAACAGAUGUGGUCUGUUUGUACAACUUAGUCCUGGGCCAAGAUCAGUUGGAAUGGAUUCUGGCAUCCUUUUAAGCAUACGAGGUACUUAAUCUUCCCCCGGAGUUCACAAUGCAUGACCUUGAGAGAAUCUUGAAAUGUACAAGAUGGUGUGUAGAAAGAUGGAAAUGUAGGGAACUGCCUUAUAAAGUAGGUUCGACUAUUUUCCAUAUAGCCCCGUAUUGGUAACUUUGAGUUAGUGGCUGUCCACUACCUGAAGCAGAGGUCUUUCACAUUGCCUGCCACCUGACCCAGUUUUAAACUGGAGAUCCAGGGGAUUGAACCUGUGACCUUCUGAAUGCAAAGCCAGAGCUCUACUGCUGAGCUGUGGUACCCCCCACCCCAUGCUUUGGUUUCCCUCUUACUGAAAGACAUUAAUGAGAGAUUUUCCUGUUGAGUCCGGCUGCUUCUAGACCAUCACACUAUAAUUCAUUCAUACAAAGUGGAGUUGAUGGUCUUGCGCAACAAAGCCACUUCCAAAAGAAGUGGGGUUUUUGUGGCAAGGAAAGUGACAGGAAAAUGCAUUGGAUAAUGGCAGUGUUGGGCGACAUCCUAAAACCACCAUCCAAACAAGAUGAAUGCUCAAUAAACAAGACAAUCUGGCAGAGCCCUCUGUUGGAUACUGGGAUCGGAAACCUAAAGAUUGCUUUAAACCACAUCGUUCAGUUUUCCCGCAGCUAGUAUAUGUUUGUGCCAAACAAAAUCAGUUUCCACAAGCAUCAUUUCAUUUGUUUCCUGAGCUUUUUCUAGGGAUCUUUUUUGUGAAUACAGAAAACAUAGACUAAAACACCCCUUUUCAAGCUCUUUUCCUAAAUGUCUUGUAAAGGGCUUGACACUGAUCUCUUAAGAUUUUCUGCCAACCCUGGGGAAAGUAAGGCACCGAGGGUACAAUUUAAAUGGAAAGAUGAUGUAUUGUGGGGCUUUGCUACAAAUAGCACAUUGCCCAAUUAUAAGAAUAAUCUUCUCCAAAGCUUGCCUAGUAGAGACAUGUUAGAAACCCAAUCGGUCCCCUUAGCUAUUUGGCUAUCGGAGCUUAGGGCCAGCUCUGAUGUGUCUUUCUUCACUGAUAAAGGCUCUCAAACCACUAGACUUUGAGAGCUUUCUGUAACAAUGAUUCACAUGGACAAUGAAGAAGAAGAAUUCCCCCAGCUUCCCCCAAAGGAAGAGAACUCUGGGUUUUCCCAGUUGCUCAUUUGAAAAGAUCUGCUUCUCUUACACAUUUUCCUUUUGUGCUCACUUCUUCAAAUCACACAGUAAUACAGAAGAUUUUUAAGUAUACAGUGGUACCUCAGGUUACAAACACCUCAGGUUACAAUUCGGGUUACAGACUCUGCUAACCCGGAAGUAGUACCUCGGGUUAAGAACUUUACCUCAUGAUGAGAGCAGAUAUCGUGCGGCAGCGAGAGGCCCCAUUACUUAAAGUGGUACCUCAGGUUAAGAACGGUUUCAGGUUAAGAACGGACCUCCGGAACGAAUUAAGUUCCUAACCAGAGGUACCACUGUACUGGUAUUAGACACCUAGGGCAGUGUUCAACUAAAUAACUGUGCAAGUGGAACAUUUAUUGCAGUGGGACUUUGUCCCCAUCCCUCAGUCUCUGUGUGUCCUGAAUCUGUUCCAGAGAAUUGGAGUAACCCCUACAACAGAUUUAGGGGGUGCACAGGGGAGAAGAUGAGGGAGGGACUUUCCAUUGCAGUUAUCUUUAUGCUGUGAUUAAUCCCAUCCCUAUUAAAAUUCUUUAGGUGUGACAUUUUCGGUUUAAAAACACAAUAAUAUGCAGUGAAAAUCCACAGUAAGUCAUAACAUCCAAGUGAACAUACAGCCACAUAUUACAAAACCACACUAAGAAAACACAAUAAAAUCUCAAGAGCUGAGAAUGUACUAACAUGACUAGCAAAAUACAGAAGUUAACACUACCAUGAAAGCUGGGAGAACAGAAAAGGCUUCGCUUGAUGCCUAAAUGACAACAAUGUAGGUACUCCCAAGCCAGUUUCCCUUGGGUGAGCAUUUCAUAACCAGGGCACUACCCAGCAAGAAUGAAUGUAAGACGAGCCUACUGGAUUAGGGCCAGUGGCUCAUCUAGUCAAGCAUCAUGCUAUUGCUGUGGUCAGCCAGAUGCAUAUGUGAAGUCUUCAAGUAGCACCUGAGCACAGCAGCACUCCUCCUGACUCUUUGGUUUCCAGUAACUGGUAUUCUCAAGCUUACAGAACACCACUGAGAAAUGUUCUCUUUCUCAAAGCCACCCUCAACUUCUGAUGAAGAAGACACUCAGAUGAGGGGCUCCAUUGCCAAGGGUAUCAUCAUAUGGGAGGAGACAUUCCCUUGGGUACUGAGGUGCCAAGAAAUGUGGUAUCCCAUCCUUCUUCAAACAGCUCAGGAUGGCAAAGAUGGAGGGUACUGUUCUUGUUUUAUCCAUGCAGCAAUCCUCUCUGAGGUAGAUUCUGUUAACUCAGUGAGUUUUAUGGCUUAGCAGCCCUUCAAGUUGAAGACUCGUCUCUUUAAAAUAGGACAUGAGGGCAUCCCUGCGCAAUCUCUUAAAGUUUCUUAAAAUUCUCUUAAAUGAUGGGUCUUGUCAUAUCAGAUGGUUAACUUUGUCUUAAUUGACUGCAGAAUUUGUGGGGAAUGGUGAUGGCAGAGGCUGCCUGUCAUAGGAACUUCAAGCCCAGCUGUUAGCUUUCAUGGCAGAAUUUGUCCCAGGCUCCAGACAAGCUCUGAAUUAGAAUUUAAAUUCAUCUGAAGGAAAAGACUCUUAAUUCCCACCCCCCUAAAGUACUGGUUUCUUGCUUGGGAUCAAGAAGGCAUUUGGACAUGCUGAAUUGUGUGUCCACUUGAAUACAUUUUCCAUAUGGGUGUUUUCCCCUCCCACCAAUAAACUGUGUAAGAUACUAUGUUAGAAGCUUGAAAUCCCAUAACAAAUAUUUAUCUUGGACAAGGUCUGUUUACUGAAAUGGUCAUUCUGGAAGAAUGACUCUUGAACUGAUGCCGUACAGAGUAGGUCUAUCCUUUAGUGAGGAUAGAAUCACCAGCCUGGGACAUCAGGCCUUCAGAAACCAGGACUAAUGGGCUAAAUUAGCCACUUGCUAGCCCUCUCUCCUUCACUUCCUUCCACUAAAUACUGUUACCUCGCCAUACUGUCCAACUUUUUCUGACACAAAACUGGGAAGUGCAGUUUCCGGGAUGUGCUCAUAGCAAGUUACGUGACCCAUGCUUCACUUUCACCACAAAGGAAACACUUUUUGGGGGCAAAAGCACAUGAGACCACAGCACCCAAAAUGGCCGCCAAGAUCUUGUGUGAAAAAAUGAGAUGCCCUGUUUUUUCCCAGGGCUCUUGGAAGGUAUUCCUCACUUCAUGCCCCUCUACUAUAACACAUUUGAAACCCAUCAUCUGCAUGUUAGGAGUCCUUUUGGAACACCAUGUGACACAGUCCAUAAAGAGGCAGGCCCUGCUAAACUCUGUGCACUGUGGUCUUCAAGUUAUAAAGUAUUCGCUUUAAGGCACAGAACCAGAAGCACAUGCAGUUUUCUUACCCUCCCACAAGAAAUGCUAGUGUAAAGUCACUGCAAAACAGAAACACCCGUAGCAUUUAUUUUUCAUGAAAACAUGUGCGAAUCGUCUUGCACCUCUCUUAAAAGUAUAUUUUUGCAAUCCUCACCAUUAUAUCACCAGAUAUUGCUGGCCUACACCACAAACAGCAGAUGAUGGAAGUUGUAGUCCAACGGCACCUGGAGGACAGCAAACAAGUAUCUAUUUAUGGACCUCUUCCUCCAAUUCUUGACCCUAAUGUUCUAAAUUCUUCUUCCACAGCUUCCAGUUAUGGGAGGAGCCUUCAUGGAUUCGCCCAACGAGGACUUUAGUACGGAAUACUCCUUGUUUAAUUCCUCCGCCAAUGUCCACGCAGCUGCUUCGAUGCCGAACCAGCCUGAAGACGCCUCCCGUUCUUCAAACGACGCCAUUUUGUUAUGGAUUGCAAUUAUAGCCACAAUUGGAAACAUAGUUGUUGUCGGAGUUGUGUAUGCCUUCACGUUCUGAGAAGAAAGGACAACAGCUCGGGGAGGUGGACAGUUGCUGUUUCAUCAGCGCAGAGUGUGUUUAUGUAUGUAGAUAUAUAUAUGCGCACAUGCCUAUAUACAAAUGUAAAUCUUUUUAAAUAUUUGUAGGUAGACCCUUGUUAGCUAAGAACAAGCUUAGCCAAUAGGUGACCAAAAGAUAAAUGGGGGGGGAGCCACCCUUGAAGUCCUUUGUAAGUGAUGUGGGGAGGAAGCAUCUCAUUAACAGCAUAAUCAAUUAAAUGUAAAGUUUAACAUGAAAAGCCAGUGAAUUUAUACUCUGUCAGAUCAUUGGUCCAUCUAGCUCGCUAUUGUCUUACUGACUCAGCAGAUCUCCAGGAUUUCAGACAGAGGGACUUUUCCCCGUCUCCUGUCUGGAGAUGCCAGGGAUUGAUCCUGAGACCUGAAUGCAAAGCAGAGGCUUCAUGACUGAGCUAUGGCCUUUCCCCAUAAUGCAAACUGCAACGCACACAAAAGAAAAGGCAGGUUUGCUCACCAAGGGCUCUGAUGCUUGCUGGCUAGUGAAUUUGUUGCUUAUCUCAUUUCUCUAUGGUUUUAAGUCUCUAAUUACUCCUGAAUUGGAGCUUUGUACAUGAAUACCUGCCUCCUCUGGUUCUGCAGCAAUAUCUUUCGUUGCCCUCCGUAGGCACUGGACAAGUAGACAUGCAGAACUGGUUUGAAUUUUUUUAUUUUAAAAUGGCAGGAAGGUUCUGGCAAGGCAGCAUGUGGAGAGUACUCCUUUUUUGUUGUCCAUUACAAAGGCACAUUGACAUAUUUCAAUUGGUUUUGUAGAUAUGGUUACUUUCCUAGCAGUUUGUCCUGUCGGUGAAAGAAAACGAUUCAGGUGUCUAGAAAGUUGUACAAUCCUGUUGCAUAAAUCUGAAAACCCUGGGUCUGGAAGGAUAACAUGGUGGGUGUUAAGGAUCUGAUAAUGAAAUAGAGGCUUGCAACAAUAUUGACAGAGCCUUGUAUUGAUCUUGGUUACGUGGGGAAACAUAAUGGUGACAGCCCCAAACCCACUCUCUCAUGCACAGAGAGAGAUUCUGAUUUCUUCUAACCCAGCUGCAUUGACCAAAGUCUGUGAUGGUCUAGAACAGAAUGAGAUGUUAUUGUGUGUCUGUGGCUCAGAAACCAAUGCUACUCUUUCACUAGGUCCAUAGAGAUAUUUGUAUAAAAACUCAUGUCAAAGGGAAUUAGGAGAAGGCCUUUUUUUCUUUUUUCUUUUUGCUGUUGUUCUAAACCAGGGAUAGAGAACCUAUUCUUGUGGCUCCAGUUUCCAGCAGACCCAGCCAGCAUGGGCAAUAGACAGGGAUGAUGGGAGUUGUAGUCCAGCACCAUAUGGAGGGCUCCAGUUGUCCACUCACUGCUCUACACUCACUGCCGUGGUUGCCACCUGCUACUUCUCCUCUGAGUCAUCAUUGCUACCACCUGCUUGGUUGUCAGACACAGUCAAAGAGAAAUAAGACAGUGAUGGCUGGUUAUCAGCAGCACUACUGCAGCACAUAGAGGUCUAAAGGGAGUGGUGUAUUGGCAAACGGAGAUGUCACCAAUCUGUUACCAUUCCUCUUGUAGGGUCCCUGUCUCCAGUGUCCUAGAGUCACCCAGUCAGCGUGAAAGGGGAGCUUUUGUAGCCUCUGUAUGCUCUCAAGCUAAGCAUGUAGGGACACCAAGAACACAAGGUGCUUCAGUUUCAGGAGAAUUUUGUGAAAUGGGACUUCAUGGAGAGAAAAAACACACAACUCAAGUCACUCUGAAAGAAGAUACUGGAACACUCCAAAUCAUUUGCCUGUGGACAUGCAUAGAAAAUGGUAGUUCUACAAAAUUAAUAUUUUAGAAGGUUAUAUAAUUGUAGAAGGGAUAUAGCUAUGGGGGGGCAUGGCUAGGACUAGCAGGAAGGGACCUGCACUUCUAAAUUGGUCACUACACUCCUGGCCAAAGGUUCUCUGCCCCAGUUCCAAGCCAUUGUUUGUACUUCUUAUAUGUCUUCUACCUCUUACCAUUCCCAAAGCUCUCCCCACAUUUCAGACCUUAUGUGAUUAUUCCUCAAGAGCGUCUGUAUUAUUUUUCUGGCCAACUUUCUGGUUCUGCACACUUGAGUGGCUGUUGUUAUAAGCAGGUUAAUGAGCGUUCUCCCUGCAUUAGCAACAUGGUUUCAGUUAGCAUGUCAUAUAAAAAGAUAAUCAUGACAAAUGCUAUGAAAGUGCACUUUGUGUUUUUAUUUAUUAUCAGCACUUUGUGUUUAUUAUUUAUUUUUUGCAGUCGAAUAUUUCAGUGUUUCCAAAAGUGGAUGUAGAAAUCUUGGUGAACAUUUCCUGUAUUGCAUUUGGAAAUGCUGUGAAGAAUAAGCUAUUAAUAAGCAAAGGCCUGAUUCUCGAGAUCAUUGCACUGUGGUUGUUGCACGGAAGGCAGAGUCAGAGGCUGCAAUCCUGUGCACAUAUCUUCCUGGGAGAAAGCCCCAUGGUGAGAAAAAUGCUCAUAGGACUGGACCGGGAAACUUCUGUCAUAAAUAACUGCAGAGAUAAAGAUGGAGGAUGCAGUUAAGCCUCUAAAAAUGAUGGAAGAGGUAUCAGUAGAAGGAAAAUAUCAAUUCUGGCUAGUGAAUAUUUAUAGGCAUUGUCUAACACCCCCCUCCAUUUAUACAUCAGGCCUACCUUUCAAACAGUUGACUAGCAAUACAUCUUUUCUUGCCUUACCAUUAUUUUCCAUCAAGUCAUCAGUCAUCAUUUGUUCAAGCGGCACAUUUGCAAAGCUAAGCAGGGUCUGGUCUGGUUUCAAAUUGGAUGGGAGACCGAGUGUUGAGAUUCCUGCAUUGCAGGAAAUAGGACUAGAUGACCCUCAGGAUCCCUUCCAACUCUACAAUUCUGUGAGUCUACUGCUCAAACCCAAAUUUCCCCAGUUCACCCCUCCCCCAUCAGUUCCCAUUCCAAACCACUAAUGAAAACUAAAUGACUUUAGUUUCACGCUCCUGAGUCCUUUUUUUGUUUCGUUGCAAGCCUAUUGCUAGCUUCAUGAUUAGAUUGAUUAGAUAUUCAUAGGAGUUUCAGCAGCUCUGGCACAUUUUUGCAGCGAAAACAAACUUUGCACCGUCAAGAAGAGAGAAAACCAUUUCACCAUGGUUACACACAAUUGUACUUUUUUUAUUUUAUUUUAUUUUAUUUUUACCCAGUGGGCUCCCUGUGCUGCUUGAUGAAUUUGCUGAUAACAAUGCUUCGCUUGAGCUAAUUUCUGGGUUUUAAUCUAAGUGCAAUUAACAGCGUUUGUGUUUGUUUGCCGACGGACUAGACUAAAUUUUAAAAGAACAUUCAGCCUUGGAAAAAAAGAGCAGACUAAAACAAAUUGUGGAGAAAAGAACCAGGCUGUCUUUUUAAAGAGCGAGAGAUGUAAUUGCAUUGCAUGAGUGUGCUGUUUUCAGAAAACAAGGCAGAGAAGGAGUUCUCUCCACCCCAUAGUUUCCAUAUUCACGGUUUGCUAAUAUUAUUAGUAAUGGUCUCACAUAACUCGAUUACUGAUUUAAGACCAAACUGCUACUAAUAUUCUGUAGUAUUGCUUCCCACAAGAGGCAGUGAUGGCCAUCAACAUAAAUGGCUUUACAAUUAGACAAAUUGAGGAUAAGGCUAUCAAAGGGUUAUAUCUGACUAAAUUCUGCUCAGAGGAGAAUUGUUGAAAUUAAUGGACUUGGGAAGGGACAAAUGAAAUUGACCAUCCUAGUUCAGUGAUUUGUUGUGUGUUUUCCCCUCCUAUGAAUGCUUCCUCUGCGGUAUCCUAGAGAUAUUCAAGAUCUUAAUAACUCCUCCACAUUUUCCUGCAGGGGAGUUAUUAAUGUGUAAAGCAGUUCUGUUUUUCACAUCAUGUCCCAGAUAAUGUAAUUUUGCUCAGUGUCCUGCAGGUAAUCACAGAAGUGGAGGGCCUAUGAAAUGAAUUCAGUUUUUUAAAAAAGGAAACAAAAAAAUUAAUUUUGCAUUUAGAGUUCUCACAGUUUGAAUCUGCAUCUCUUUGCUUAGAUAAUGAAGAGCUACCCAUUUCUAGUACAGUGGUACCUUGGUUUUAGAACAGCUUAGUUUAUGAACAACUUGGAAAUACGGUGGUACCUCUGGAUGCGAACGGGAUCCGUUCCGGAGCCCCGUUCGCAUCCAGAAGCGAACACGACCUGUGUCUGUGCGUGCACAGGUUGCGAUUCGCCGCUUCUGCGCAUGCGCGUGAUGUCAUUUUGAUCGUCUGCGCAUGCGCGGCGAAACCUGGAAGUAAUGCACUCCGUUACUUCCGGGUCGCCGCAGCGUGUAACCCGAAAAUACUUAUCCUGAAGCUACUUCAACCUGAGGUAUGACUGUAGAACACUGCAAACUCACAAGUAGGUGUUUCGAUUUGUGAGCUUUGCCUUGGAAGCUGAACAUGUUCUGCUUCCUGUUGAGUGUAUUCCAUUUGUAAAUUGAGUCCCCCGCUGCUAAUCAGAGGAUUCCUGUUGAGUCAGUCAGAUGUUGAGUCCUGAGCACCCGCACAACACAGAGGUGAUAUUUGGAGCUUUUGUUUUUGCUAUUUUUUGUGUUUUUGUUUGUGUGACUUUUUCAUUUUUUUGACUGUGACUUGUUCUUCGUUUUAUGGGACUGACUUGUGACUGUUGUUUUUGGGACUUGUUUUUGGGACUGUGUGGAAUUCAGUUCCACUCCUGGUUUAUUGUGUGACUGCAGAAAUGGAUAAAAGCCCCCCAUCCAAACAAUGACUAUCAUCGGUGCACGUAAGGGGGGAAUAAUUUUAAUUUUUAUCAUCUGCAAUACUGUCUUACUUAUUUUAUAGUACAGUACAUUGAUUAUUGUUUCACUUUAUGGAUCAGUGGUCUCAUUAGAUAGUAAAAUUCAUGUUAAAUUGCUGUUUUAGGGGUUGUUUUUAAAAGUCUGGAACGGAUUAAUCCAUUUUGCAUUACUUUCUAUGGGAAAACAUGCCUUGGUUUUAGAACGCAGACUUUGGGAACAGAUUAAGUUUGGGAACCAAGGUACCACUGUAAUGCAGUGAUGAAUAGCCACAGCUGUACAGUCAUAUCUCGGGUUACAGAUGCUUCAGGUUGCGUUUUUUUGGGUUACAGACCACUGAAACCCAGAAGUACCGGAAUAGGUUACUUCCGGGUUUUGGUGGUCGCACAUGCGCAGAAGCGCUAAAUCGCGCUUUGCACAUGCGCAGAAGCGCCAAACCACAACCCAUGCAUGCACAGAUGUGCUGCUGCGGGUUGUGGACACUGCGGGUUGCGAAUGUGCAUCCCACACGGAUCACGUUCGUAACCAAAGCGCCCACUGUAUAAGGAACACAUGUACGAAACCAUGCACUGUAGUGGCUUCUUAUUAGUGAGAGCAUAAACUUUUAAUCUUAAGUGCAUGAACUUUCAAUACUAUGUGAGUGAGUGCGUAGCCAAACUGUGGAAUUUACCAGCACAGGUAGUCGUGAUGGCCAUCAAUUUGAGUGCCUUCAAAAGCAGGUUAGGCAAAUUCAUGGAGGUUAAGGCUGUGUUACCCUGUUGGAGGCAUUAUGCCUUUGGGUGCCAGUUCCUGGGAGUCACAAGUGAGGACUCUGCUGUUGCAUUCAGGCCCUGCUUACAGGCUUCCAAUAAACAUCUGGCCAGCCAUUGUGAGAACAGAAUUCUGGACUAGGUGGGCCAUUGUUCUUAGGAUGCAUUGGUGACUUAGAAUCCUACCCACCUGUUCCUUGUAUGUAAGGCUUUGCUGUGUUGAGAGAGGAGCAGACCAGGGCUUUUAGCCACCAUCACUAUUCCUUUCCUGCAGAAAAUGUGUGUUAGGGUGUGAGCACCUGCCCGCAAGUAGGGAGUCUGCAGAAUGGGGAUGCCUGCACACCCAGGUGCCCUGAUCUUGCUGAGAUCAGGGUUGGCUGGAGCAGAAAUGAUCAGGUGCUGAUCUGUGUAAGUCUCCUCCAUUUCUGGGUGGGGACAAUUCUCAGUGUGUUCCCAGAAGUGACCUCCGGUGGUGUGGAGAGACUCUCUACACAGUGGGGAUGGCAAGCUUGGGCUCUUUAGCUCUCCUGAAUCUGCUCAUGCAGAGAAGUUUCCAGUAUUAAUUUGCCCCUUUCAUAAAUCUGCAAAUGCUCUGUUAUUUUUAACCAACGUAAAAUACUGAGCUGUUUUUGAAGCCAUCAAUAUAGAAGUAGAGCCAGUUGUUUUGAUAGCCUCAAACAAAUCCGCUAUGGGAUAUAACUGGGUGUCUCUUUUGCACUCCAGUUACGCUCCUUCAGAGCUUGGAAGCCCCGUUAGGGCCAAAGCAUACAUAAGGUUAUGCACUCUUGGGAUUCUGGACACGAAUCAGAAUUCUGAUGUAAAUUUCUCAUGUGGAUUGUUCUAUGGUAAGUGGGUGGUUAAUCUAUUUAUUUUUCACUAUUUUGCAGAAUUUUUUUUGGUGAGUGUGUGUUCUUUCUCCCUAUUCUUUUGCAAUGUGCUGAAAGCUGUUAAGGUGCUUGUGAGGUUUUGCACAAAAGAAGCCAUCAGUUUUGCAAAGCAUGUUCUUUCCGCUUUUUUAAGUAGUCUAACGUGACAGGUGUUCUGCUACAAAGAAGAAUCCUGUCAUCUGUACUGUAGUGUGUGCUGCCAAUGAAGUCUCUGGCUGCAGCACCCUAAUACAGUCGUACCUUGGAUCUCAAACGCCUUGGCUCCCGAACAAAUCGGCUCCCAAACGAUCAAAACAUGGAAAUGAAUGUUCCAGUUUGUGAACAUUCUUUGGAACCCAAAUGUCCGACGGGGCUUCCACGGCUUCUGAUUGGCUGCAGGAGUUUCUGUAGCCAAUCCAAAGCUGUGCUUUGGUUUCUGAACAUUUUGGAAGUCGAACGGACUUCCAGAAUGGAUUCUGUUCAACUUCCAAGGUACAACUGUACUACUAAGGCAGGUGGAAGAGUUUCUGGAUGCCAUUAGCUGAGAUGCUUUGAGCCUAGAGAGUGGUCAACUGCCAUGGUGCCACCAUGUUGGUUGCUGAGAGAGCUGUCUAGUACUCUAGGAGGGCCUACUACUCACACCUGCCCUGGCCCCCUUUACCUUUAAACAUUUUUCACCCAGCAUUUGAUGCAGGCCAGGCAAUUUGAGUAUUGGAGCGGCCAUUUUUGAUUUCCAACAACGCCCCUUCUCAGUGCGUUGUGGGAAAUUCAAAUGGUCUCUCCAAGAUCCAGCUACCAGUUCAUCAUUUCAGCACCAUGCUGCUGCUGUCAAGUGAUACUUCAGGAGAAGCCACAUCAUCAGAGGUUCCCUUCACCUGAGCUAGAUCCUGCUGUCCAGAGUCUUGUGAUGGAAUCUUUAUAUUCUCUCUCUCUCUCUCUCUCUCUCUCUCUCUCUCUCUCUCUUUGAUACUCUUUUUCUUUAUACCGCUUGGUUUCUUUGGAAAGGUCAACAGUUGUACCAUUUUUAUCUUGUAUGAAUUGUUCUACAGAAACUUAUUCUUGUAAUAAAACAUGUUCUUGAUAAUGGGGGUUUCUGAACAGAGGGCAAAACAUUGAGAAUGCUUCUGUGUUUUACCCGGGGUUUGCAUAACAUCUUGUAUAAGUCUUGAACUGGUUUAAGCAAACCAAAUGUAUACUACUUUUUCACUACUACAGUGCUCCUUGUUGUUUAUGAGCCUCACUAUACAUGUAAUUAUUGAUAUUAUUAUUAUUAUUAUUAAUUGGGUAGGGUGAAAAUGCCUUUGUUAAAGUACAGUUAUAUUUGUGCUUUUCUAAAAACAACAACUAUUAAAGUUAUCAAUGUUUGC
Podarcis lilfordi (Lilford's wall lizard) is the source of this 38934-nucleotide non-coding RNA. The record is from the annotation of a GenBank genome assembly. Lineage: Eukaryota; Metazoa; Chordata; Lepidosauria; Squamata; Lacertidae.